RNAcentral lists this ribosomal RNA (505 nucleotides) under uncultured bacterium. RNAcentral describes it as "partial 16S ribosomal RNA". It matches the Rfam family "Bacterial small subunit ribosomal RNA", at positions 28 to 507 of the family's 1533-position model. The record is from RNAcentral.
GACGAACGCUGGCGGCGUGCCUAAUACAUGCAAGUCGAACGCACAGUUUAUACCGUAGCUUGCUACACCAUAGACUGUGAGUUGCGAACGGGUGAGUAACGCGUAGGUAACCUGCCUGGUAGCGGGGGAUAACUAUUGGAAACGAUAGCUAAUACCGCAUAAUAUUAAUUAUUGCAUGAUAAUUAAUUUAAAGGUGCAAUUGCACCACUACCAGAUGGACCUGCGUUGUAUUAGCUAGUAGGUGAGGUAACGGCUCACCUAGGCGAGGAUACAUAGCCGACCUGAGAGGGGGAUCGGCCAAACUGGGACUGAGAAACGGCCCAGAAGCCUACGGGAGGCAGCAGUAGGGAAGCGUCGGAAAUGGAAGAAAGUCUGACCGAGCAACGCCGCGGGAGGGAAGAAGGGUGUCGGAUCGUAAAGCUCUGUUGUAAGAGAAGAACGGGUGUGAGAGUGGAAAGUUCACACUGUGACGGUAUCUGAACAGAAAGGGACGGCUAACUACGUG